AGCAUAUGGUAUUUAUCUUUCUCUUUCUGACUUAGUUCACUCAGUAUGAGAGUCUCUAGUUCCAUCCAUGUUGCUGCAAAUGACGUUAUGUCGUUCUUUUUUAUGGCUGAGUAGUAUUCCAUUGUGUGUAUUUACCACAUCUUCCUAAUCCAAUUGUCUGUCGAUGGACAUUUGGGUUAUUAGAGAAAUGCAAAUCAAAACUACCAUGAGAUACCACCUCACACCAGUCAGAAUGGUCAUCAUUAAUAAGUCCACAAAUAAGAGCUGGAGGGGUUGUGGAGAAAAGGGAACCCUCCUGCACUGUUGGUGGGAAAAAUAAGCUGAUACAGGCACUAUGGAGAACAGUGUGGAGAUACCUUAGAAAUCUAUACAUAGAACUACCAUAUGACCCAGCAAUCCCACUCUUGGGCUUAUAUCCAGACAAAACUUUCCUUAAAAAAGACACAUGCACCUGCAUGCUCAUUGCAGCACUAUUCACAAUAGCCAAGACAUGUUUGAUCUUUUUUAUCUCCGCACAUUGACCUCCAGGCUUCUGUUUGCUGGAGGCUAGGGUUUUAAAGGACUCUUUUGAGCCCUCUUCAAAUCCUUUAUAAAAGAAGAUGCAAGUGUCAUGUAAGUGGAUAAUACAAACCCGUAGCUUGGAAUUGCUACCAACUCAGUCUAGAAGACAAAACAGAAUACUUAUUGUGUCCACUCGGGGGCAAGUCCCCAACGAAGGCUCUGUCCCAUGGAGUUUAAGAGGCCACAGAACUUCAGCCAGAUUCUGAACUGGGAGCCUGCAGGGCUGCGGGUGUGUAGCAGCUGAGGUCUGGAGAGACGGCAGGUGAUACCUCGGUGUAGACAGAAUAGAGCUGAUCUGCUCAAUGGAAAGUCGCCUUUGGAAAGACCCUGCCCUGUUUGGACGGCAGGCCUCGGGACCAGGCUCAGCUGGUGGGGGUGUGGGAGGUGCCAGCUCCUGGAGCCCAGGGGACGUUGGCUGCCUGGCCUGCUUGGGUGAACGACGCACCUGUGGGUUCAACCAACAGCUGAGGUCGGACGCUCUGCAUCCUUCCAUCUGGAAGCUUCUGUAUCUGGCGCUGAAAGAGCCCGUCAUGAGGGGUGUCGACGGAACACUUACUCUCCUUGCAGUGUUUGGGGCACCACUCCAUGACCCCCUACUGACUCUGAGGUGUGACAGCCACACGGCUGGAUAGGGAAAGGCACGCCAGGCACGCAUGAGCCUGGUGUGAAAAGAAAAGUCAGGCAAAGUCCUGGGUGUGAGGAGGUGGGAAACGUCCUGCAGGGAAGGGAGUCUGAUCUGCUGAGCGGUGGGCAGGGGGCAGGCCCACAUCCCGGGCUUCUUCUAGGCCCUGCUGCUUGCAGAAUCCCACAGGCCUCUCCUACCUCCCGGGGGCCACUGGCAGCUGAGAGGAAGGGAACUGACAGCAGUCAGAGGCGACACCUUAUGUUUCCAGGCGUGAACAUCCGUGUGAAAAUUUUCAGCAAAUCACUUCCCAUCCCUGUGACGCUCCAAUCCGUCUCACCUUCACAUCUAAAGGCUGCCAGCCAUGCUCCCUGCAACCCUAGUGCAGGACCCAGAAACAUGUUACAGCUCUCCUUCCAGAAGCUUCUCCUGGGGUCAUGGAUUCCAAUAUCCGUCUGGCUCCAGACAUCCUUCUGGGGAUAUCUGUCUGAGCUGGGAUUGGCCCUGGCAGCUCUGCCAGCCAUAGUCUGUUUCUAGAUCCUUCCACCACAGCUUCAGGAUGUGAGGAGGGGACAAAGUUCCUCUCCUCCUCUUUACGCUGCUCCCACAUCCACCUGGAAACGUAAAUGAGACGCUUAAAACAGAAGCAGGAUGGUUUCUGCAGGAUUUAAACCAGAGACACAAGUACAUGAAAUAGCUCAUCCCCACGUGCAGUGAAAUAACACAGUAUUUAUCUGCUUGAGGGGGCCAGGAGGCAGAACUCCUUUGUAUUUACAUAAAAGCACUUUUAAAAAUUGUUUUCUUAUUAGAAAAAUGAGAUAAAAUAUUUCAGAUUUUGAAAAGCAUAAAAAUUGGUAAACAGGACAUAGAGAAUUGCCUCAACACUUUUCUUUGUAUAACUGCUAUCACUUUUUGAAUAUGUUUAUUUCUAUGUAUGGAUAGGUUAGCAAAAAUUAUAAUCAUGGCCUCACAUUCAAUAUGUAAUUUUUUUUUUGUCUUUUUUCUUUUUAGGGCCACGCCCACAGCAUAUGGAAGUUCCCAGGUUAAGGGUCAAAUCAGAGCUGCAGCUGCUCUGACAAUUAUUUUUCUCUUUUCCACAUGUAGAGUUUUAAACUUUUGUCCCGAGAGCUCCCCAUGUCAUCGCGUUGUUCAUAGAGAUAAGAUGCAUAAGAAUUAGUUACUUCUUUCUCCUGACGAAUUUGUUCAUCCGUUAGAUUUCUCCACACCUUUUGCUGUGACAAAAUUUGCUUCCAGGGAGAACCUUUAAACUUUGGCCUCAUUGCUGAUGGCUUUCCUUAGAAUAAAGUCUUUGAAUAAGAAUUAGGAAGCUACAGGACAGAGACCUCUGAUCAGCUUGAGAUAUAUUCUAAGCUCCCUUCACAAAAUACUAUCGACAUUGAGCACAGGCAUUUUAUUGUCAUGUUAGCCGAUUUAAGAUGCUCUCAUUAAGUUAGGAUAUUUUUGACAUUUCAGGUAGUUAAAUCUUCCCAUUCCUUUUCCCCUUUGACCGUUGUCAUAUACAGAAAGCCCUCCUCCAACGUAGGAACAUCUAGAUUUUCCCAUAUUUUUCUAAAUUGUAAAAAAAUAAUAAUUAAAAUUUUCCAUUUAGUUUCUCAAUCCAGGUGGAAUUGACUUUAGUAGGUCACAUAAUGUGAGAUGGUUUUGUUUUCUUUUCCCCAAAUAGCUAAGAGUUCAGCACCAGCCUUUGAAUAUUGUAUUCGGUGAUAAGCAGUGUUUCCCAGGCACACACUCAGUCCAGGGCACCCAUCUCUAGUCCAUUGGCCUGUCAUUGAUUUGCCCCAUUGCUGCCUGGUUUGACCUUUCGUAGCUCAUAGCAUCGCAGCUAAGCAGGUGGGUACUAAAAAAUGUGCAUGCAAAUUACAUGUAAAAACCUGACAUUGAUUGUGUGACUUUGUGAAGAGGCACUAACACCAGGUCGGCCUCCGCUGAAAGGAAGAACUGUGGUCCCUUCUGCACAAGGUUGUGGGAGGAAGGGAACUGUGACCGUUCAGUAAGGACAGGGCAUGGUGUCCCCAGGGGUUAAUUACAGGGGCUAGUUACAGAGGUUAGUUACAGGAGCUAGUUACAGGGGCUAGUUACACUAGUUACAGAGGUUAUUUACAGGGCUAUUUACAGGGGCUGGUUACAUGAAUUAGUAUCAGGAGUUAUUUACAUGGGUUAUUUACAGAGGUUAGUUACAUACCUUAGAGUUACAAGAGUUAUUUACAGGGGUUAGUCACAAGUUGUAGCUACUGUUACAAUCUCUGCUCCCGUCUAGCAGAAGCCUUGGGGUGGUCCUCUUCCUCUGCUUUUGUAAACAUCCUGGCUAUUUUUCCUGGUUAUCUUUCCAGACAAAUCUGUUUGACCUACUCAAAAGAAGUGCCACCAAGAUUUCGAUGAAGGGUAUGAAGCUGAUGCAGUCAUCUGGGAAAACUGACAUCAUACCAGGUCAGUACCACAUGUUUCCAUUUUGAAGACUGUUAUGUAUGAUCUUCGGGUAAAUCUGGUGAUGCUCGUGGGAUGCUUUUGCAGAUUUCUUAUUUUUAAUCUUUCUUUUUCUUUUUGCUCAUCUGAUAUAUCUUUUCUCAUGCUUUCCAAUAAUGUAUGGCUUGUGCUUGGAAAGCUGUAAUGUUGGUGUAUUUGUUAUAUAUUUAACAACAUUGACUGAUUUGCGUAUUUGUUCUAAAAUUUUAGCUGGUUUCUAAGGCUUUCUAAAAAUUGGGUGAUGUCAUCUUCAAAUAAUGAGCAGUUCUUUCUCCCCAUCUAUGUCCCUCCUCUGUGUUAUCAUCCAGGGGGAGUCAGCUACAACACCCAGACACACCAGAUACGUCAUGUGGGGCGUCAUCUGGGUGUGAAGUGUCCCAUAGCCCUUCUUCACCUUCUGUCUCUGCCACCUGCUGUGUAACCGUCCCUCUUUGCCCCCAUUUCUUCAUCAGUUCAAGGCAAAUAGUAAUUACCUGGGAGGUAACACUUUGUGACGUGGCUGAUUAAUCAUCAUCUAAUUCACUGCUGCCUCUGUCUACACCUGCUCUCCUUCCUUCUCACCUGCGCCCACUGGACAUCUUCCUUCCACCCAGACUUCUCUCUGUCUUUUUUUUACAGCUGGUUCCUCAGGUGGCUUUUAUUCCUGGAGCCAGUUCUACCAUUUCUCAGAAACUGCUCACUUUUGCCCUCUCUCAACCAAGGACAGGUGUUGUCUGUCACACAGUUGAGCAGGGAACCUGCCUGAGACUCCGUUGGAGGUCGGGGGUUGAGGGGAAGAUUGAAAUCCCUCUGUGGUCUGAGAGAUUCAGAAUGGUGGCAUCUUGUAAAGAUCUUCAGUCCAGGAAAUUCUGGGAAAACAUGAUCUGGAUUUGGACCCAUUGAUUUUAGGGAACCUUAAAUAUAAGCUCUGAUGAAUUAGCAGAAGAUUUUCAGUCAUAAUACUCCCACAUAGGAAUAUUCCAGAUCCUGACCGAAGGCUGGGAUUCUUGCAUUAGUCACAAAUGUUUCCUUUUUGCCUCGUUUUGCUUAUUUCUCUCUGGAAACAAGACAAGUCGGAAUUUCUUUGAGCAUCUUGGCUUUGGUCUGUGGCCACAUCUGGCCAUCUUCAUGGUUUAUCUUUGCAAUUCUCAACUCACGGGAAGCCAGAGAUAUGUAACAAUCCACGGCAAGAUUAAUCCAACCCUGAUCUCAUUUCCCUUCAAUUCAGCAAUUCGUUGAUGGUGUGUCCAGCCAUCAAUCAAGAAUAUGAGAAAGAGGGAUGACAGGAAGUUGGAUGAAGUUGAGAGAUAGAUAUAAUAAUAUUCUUAUUACCAGGUUUUCUAUUUGAGCCUAAAACUACCUUCUUAGAUAAAAAGGCUCAAAAGUUACAGUAAUUCCCCCCAAUGACCUGCUUUCAACCUGGCGUUGAGUGGCAGGUGCUGAGACUGGGAAGCAGAAGGACCUGGACCCAGAGGCCUCGGAGCCAAGCAAUCCCAAACGUAGCUUGCAGCCCCCGUGAAAAAUUCAUGGAACCGGGUGUUCCUGCUCCCCCCCCACCACCACCCCUGCCAUCUACCAGCUAUGUGCCCCCAGGCAGUUUGCUUACUUUCUCUGUGCCUCAGUUUCCACAUCUUUAAAAUGGGGGUGCUAAUAGAAUGCCAGUGGUUGUUACAAGAUGAGUUACUGUGUAUAAAAUGCUGAGGACAGGGAGUUCCCUUUGUGGUGCAGUGGUUAACGAAUCCGACUAGGAACCAUGAGGUUGAGGGUUCCUGGCCUUGCUCAGUGGGUUAAGGAUCCCACGUUGCCGUGAGCUGGGGUGUAGGCCGGAAGGUAUAGCUCCAACUAGACCCCUGGCCUGGGAACCUCCAUAUGCCGCAGGAAGCAGCCCUAGAAAAGGCAGAAAGCCCAAAAAAAAAAAAAAAAAAAA
This 5573-nucleotide long non-coding RNA is filed under the name Sus scrofa (pig). RNAcentral describes it as "lncRNA (ENSSSCG00060059594.1)". The record is from RNAcentral. Lineage: Eukaryota; Metazoa; Chordata; Mammalia; Artiodactyla; Suidae.